GAGCAUCUGCCUUACAAGCAGAGGGUCAGCGGUUCGAUCCCGUUAACUCCCA
Molecule: transfer RNA, 52 nt
Filed under: Streptococcus anginosus SK1138
Lineage: Bacteria; Bacillati; Bacillota; Bacilli; Lactobacillales; Streptococcaceae
Description: tRNA-Val
Rfam family: tRNA
About the family: Transfer RNA (tRNA) molecules are approximately 80 nucleotides in length.
Source: RNAcentral